UGUGUCUACUUCCUGUCGACGUAGUGUCAGUUCGUAGCUUUGUGUUCGAGUUAUUUAACAGGUGCAUUAAGCUUAAAACAUGAGUAGAAGUUAUAGCUUAAUUACAAAUACGAUAAAAAAAAAAAUGUUACCGCCGACAUAUGUCGAAGGUUUCCACGAUUUGGAAGCUGUAAAGGCAAUGGAAUAUAGGCCACUCGGCAAAACUGGAUUAUUAGUUAGCAAAUUAUCACUUGGCGGUGGACCAUUUGGCUGUCAUUACAAUUCGUUCAACGAAGACGAGGCUAUUGAAGUGAUACGUCAAGGAAUAAAACAGGGAAUUAAUUACAUUGAUACUGCACCAUGGUACGGCCAAGGUCGCUCAGAAACCAUAAUUGGAAAAGCUCUCAAAGGCAUUCCCCGUAAAGCAUAUUAUAUUGCGACAAAAGUUGGACGAUAUGAAUUAAAUUACGAAAAUAUGUUCGACUUUUCGAAAGAAAAGACUAGGAACAGUUUUAACGACAGUUUGAAACGACUCGGCUUAGAUUACGUAGAUGUCAUUCAGGUUCACGACAUCGAAUUUGCACAAAGUUUAGACGUAGUAAUUACGCAAACUUUACCAGAAUUAUCGAUUAAGAUUGCGGAUGGUAAAGCGAAAUAUAUAGGUAUUACCGGAUAUCCGGUAUCGGUUUUGAAAAAGUGUAUCGAAAAAAGUAAUAUUAACAUAGCCGUUGUCAUGAGCUAUGCAAGGUACACGUUACUAGAUAAUACUUUGUGUGAUUAUAUUCCAUUUUUUAAGGAGCACAAUAUUGGUAUAAUUAAUGCUGCAGCAGUAUGUAUGGGAUUACUAACUAAUAAAGGACCACAAGCUUGGCAUCCUGGUUCAGAUAAUACAAAAAAAUUAUGCACAGAGGCUGCAAGUUAUUGCAGAGACAAUGAUAUUGAAUUAGCAAGAUUAGCAUUAUGGUACUCUAUGCAAUGUGAGGAUAUAGCCACUUUCCUGAGUGGAAUGCAAACUUUAAGUGACCUGAACAUGAGCCUGGAUUUAGUAAGAAAUGGCAUUACAGAAAGGGAGAAAAAUCUAUUACAAGAAAUUCAAGAAAAUUCCAGCUAUCAGAGCUAUUUUAUGUGUGUAAUGUAGAAUUAUAUUUUAUCAGUACAUUUUUGUGAUACAUAAGUCUUCAGGCUUUCAUAUUAUACUUCAUCCUUAAGUUGAUACAUAAGUAAAGUAACAGAGAAACAUUGGGAAGGUAAAGAGUUUCAGACAUAUUGGGAAAAUGUAAGAAAGUAAGAAAAUAUAUUUUUGUACAUAUUUCUAUACAUACGAUGAUUCAUACAUGUUUUGUCAUAUUAAAUGUUGAAUUAUAUAAUAAAUGUUUAUUACCAAAUA
RNAcentral lists this unclassified non-coding RNA (1366 nucleotides) under Megachile rotundata (alfalfa leafcutting bee). RNAcentral's name for it is "l-galactose dehydrogenase-like, transcript variant X4". Lineage: Eukaryota; Metazoa; Arthropoda; Insecta; Hymenoptera; Megachilidae. The record is from RNAcentral.